UGGGAUAUAGCUCAGUUGGUAGAGAGUUUGCCUGGCAUGCACAAAGCCCUGGGUUCAAUUCCCAGCACCCAA
RNAcentral lists this transfer RNA (72 nucleotides) under Marmota marmota marmota (Alpine marmot). It matches the Rfam family "tRNA". From Rfam's summary of the family: Transfer RNA (tRNA) molecules are approximately 80 nucleotides in length. Their secondary structure includes four short double-helical elements and three loops (D, anti-codon, and T loops). Further hydrogen bonds mediate the characteristic L-shaped molecular structure. tRNAs have two regions of fundamental functional importance: the anti-codon, which is responsible for specific mRNA codon recognition, and the 3' end, to which the tRNAs corresponding amino acid is attached (by aminoacyl-tRNA synthetases). tRNAs cope with the degeneracy of the genetic code in two manners: having more than one tRNA (with a specific anti-codon) for a particular amino acid; and 'wobble' base-pairing, i.e. permitting non-standard base-pairing at the 3rd anti-codon position. Lineage: Eukaryota; Metazoa; Chordata; Mammalia; Rodentia; Sciuridae. The record is from Rfam by way of RNAcentral. RNAcentral also lists the same sequence under 1 other name.